This 407-nucleotide ribosomal RNA is filed under the name uncultured bacterium. RNAcentral's name for it is "partial 16S ribosomal RNA". It matches the Rfam family "Bacterial small subunit ribosomal RNA", at positions 28 to 526 of the family's 1533-position model. The record is from RNAcentral.
GACGAACGCUGGCGGCGUGCCUAAUACAUGCAAGUAGAACGCAGUUGCGAACGGGUGAGUAACGCGUAGGUAACUGCCUGGUAGCGGGGGAUAACUAUUGGAAACGAUAGCUAAUACCGCAUACUACCAGAUGGACCUGCGUUGUAUUAGCCCGUUGGUAAGGUAACGGCUCACCAAGGCAACGAUACAUAGCCGACCUUAGUGGGUGUUCGGCCAACCUGGGACUUGGAAACGGGCCAGACUCCUACGGGAGGCAGCAAUUAGGAAUCUUCGGCAAAUGGGGGAACCCUGACCGGGCAACGCCGCGUGAGUGAAGAAGGUUUUCGGAUCGUAAAGCUCUGUUGUUAAGGAAGCGGUACUUAACCAGAAAGGGACGGCUAACUACGUGCCAGCAGCCGCGGUAAUUC